Molecule: long non-coding RNA, 1860 nt
Organism: Lolium perenne
Lineage: Eukaryota; Viridiplantae; Streptophyta; Magnoliopsida; Poales; Poaceae
Source: RefSeq, a predicted model, not a curated record
UCUUGGACGGUGCACUUGGUCCUGUGGCACCGCUUUGACCUGCCGCUUUGUCUCUCUCCUCUCCAUGAUUCUAUUUUCUCAGGAGGCUCCAGUUGAGCGAGUCCCCUCCUUCAUCUUCCUGUGUGUUGCCUCGCCGUGCUCCACCUCUACCAUAUUGCCCUGCCUUGGAUUCUUCCCGUGGCCGCGCUCUCCGCCGCCUCCAAUUCCGUCGCCCAGAUCCUUCACUAGGGCCAGCGACCUUUCCUCUCCGAUCGCUGUGUGGCGUCUGCCAAUGCAAUUAUUGGCACGACCUACCCACCCCUCUCUCUCUCUCCCGAGGCUGCUGAUGAUGCGAAGGAAGAACUUGGGUCUAUCCUCUCCUUCCGACGGCGGCUGGCGGCGUGGCCGAUUUGAGCACGUCCUGGUCCAUCAAUGUUUCUGUGAGUGCGCCGUCCGCGUGAUGUUACGGGCCGCCGGCUAGGUAGGCCACUUUCUGUCUCGCCUCCUCUGGUCCUGCAUCGGUGUUUUGCUCACGACGAUAUUACUGCAUCGGCUUCUGUCCGUGGCAAGUUUGGGGAUGGUGUGGAUCUUUCCAUCGAUGAUUUCGCGGAGCUGCCAGAGGCCAUUAGGGUAGUCGUCAUCAUCGGGGAUAUCUCUGCAGUGGAGGAGCUCUCUCUCUAGAGCCGAUCCGCGGGAGGUACGAGAAGAUGGAGCUGAGGGGCGGAGCGUGGGAGAAGAUGGCGUCAAUGGUGCUGGGCCGCCUGAAGAGUUCAGGAGGGAGGACGGGAGGUGGAGUGAGGAUAGGGGAAUUUGGGGAGAAGAAGGCACGGACGCGGAUUGCAUCCAGGCCGGCCUUGUGCUGCUGCUCGAUGUAGACAUCAGUUCGAGUGCGUUCAGAUGGUCAAGUGAGGAAUUAAUACUUAACGAAAUUGUUGCUGAAGCUGGAAUCGAAGUGCCGGCCUGAUAAUAUUUGCAGUGUUGGCUUGAACAGCAGGGAUUGGUCACAGCGAAGUAGCAGACCACUAUGCGAGCAACACCGACGUUGUGGAGCAUCCGUCCAGUGAGAGGAAGGAAAGCAUGCGAUGUCUGUUCGGCAGCCAGUCCGACCAGCAGCGACCACCGUCCACGAGAACAAGGAGGUAGCUAUCCACAGGCGCCAUGCUGCUGCGUGUUUGCUUAACAGGUACAACUUUCCGUUAGCGCAAAGUAUAUCAAACCAAACAAGGAAAGCAAAGAGAUGAUCAGCUAAUUCAUAUUCCUUGGCGAUCAUGGUGUCACACUUACGGGCCAUGACGCAAUCCUGCCUGAUGCAACAACCAGAGGGAAAACAGAUUAUGUGCCGCCGGCCAUAUGAGGUGUAGUUGAAAAAAAUGUAUAGUCAUCGCAGAGGUCAUGCAGGAAGCUCUUGGCGCUGGCAACAUAUCAUGGAUAUCCCAGGCUAAGAUGUCAGCUCCAUGUGCGAAAAAGAGGACGAAGGGAGGCCAAAGCAUCAACUACUACACCAACCAAGAAACAGAACAACAAAUAGCUCUUCCCACGCAAAUAAAGAUGUUUCCACCUUCAGUUAAACACCAGGAGCCAGGUUCCGCUUGCAGAAACGAAUCAACUUAGCUUAAGAAUCCAAGACAAAAAGGGGGUGGAGCUGUUGAAACAAUGAUUGAGCACACUGUUGUCAAUAAGAUAUCUCUAAUAGCAUGAACCUACAUAACAUUCUAGCCAACAGGUACCAAAAAAUUGGCACACUGCUGCCAACCAGUUAUGUAUAAUAUCAUAGACCUUCUUAUCAUUCUAGCUAGCAAGUACUAUCGACAAGUUGUAAUAGACCCCCACUUCGAAUAUUACGUGCAAUAUGGACCAAACCACUAUUCCAGCCAGCAAAAA